AGCAGCCGCGGUAAUUCCAGCUCCAAUAGCGUAUAUUAAAGUUGUUGCAGUUAAAAAGCUCGUAGUUGAAUUUCGGGAUCAAUUAGUCGGUCGUGCCUCUGGUACGUACUGGUUUUAUUGGUUCCUCCCUUCUGACGAAACAUGAUGUCAUUAAUUUGGUGUCGUGGAGAAUCAGGACUGUUACCUUGAAAAAUUAGAGUGUUUAUAGCAGGCUAACGCUUGAAUACAUUAGCAUGGAAUAAUGAAAUAGGACGUUCGACCCUAUUUUGUUGGUUUCUAGGAUCGACGUAAUGAUUAAUAGGGAUAGUUGGGGGCAUUAGUAUUCAAUUGUCAGAGGUGAAAUUCUUGGAUUUAUUGAAGACUAACUACUGCGAAAGCAUUUGCUAAGGAUGUUUUCAUUAAUCAAGAACGAAAGUUAGGGGGUCGAAGACGAUCAGAUACCGUCGUAGUCUUAACCAUAAACUAUGCCGAACUAGGGAUCGGAUGAUGUUAAUUUUUAAUG
RNAcentral lists this ribosomal RNA (502 nucleotides) under uncultured Glomus. Its description in RNAcentral is "SSU rRNA". It matches the Rfam family "Eukaryotic small subunit ribosomal RNA", at positions 569 to 1075 of the family's 1831-position model. The record is from RNAcentral. Lineage: Eukaryota; Fungi; Glomeromycota; Glomeromycetes; Glomerales; Glomeraceae.